AUGGGGCGUCGGGCCAAGCUCUCCUCGCCUCCUGCUGUGCCAGAUGGAGCUUCUUCCUCGACCAUGCAGGCCGCCAAGAAGGUGCCCACACUGAACACGGCGUACAAUGCCGGGCUGCUCCAUUCCAUCGCCGGAGAAUGGAAUCCAAACAUCAAAGGUGUGUUUUCCAGGGUAGGGAUGGAAGAAAUGUGCAAGAUAAAGGAUAUGGGGAACAACAACCGUAUCUUUAGCAUGUCCCUCUUAGCUAGGAUCGAUCCCAAAACCAUGAAGAUGGACAUGGGAGAUGGGGAUUACAUUGAGGUGAACUCUAGGGAGGUAGCAAAGUGCUUAGGGUUGAAUCCAUGUGGUAGGAAGAUAGAUAUCCCGGGCGGCGCUUGCUUAGUAGACCGAGAACGGUUGCUAGAGAACUUGCAUGCGAUCUUAGAGACAAACAUGGCUCGCACUUGUAAGAUUCCUGUGGUUAGAGUUAAGAAAAUCAUCCAGAACGCAAGCAAGGUGGCCAUAGUAGGAGCAGAGAAAGAAAAGAUGAUGGUGGCGUGUACAAUCAUAGCCGCGUCCUUGUUUCUCCUACCUAGGGGAGCACACCCAAAAAUUGCCAAUGAACUGCUGCCCAUGCUAGCUGAGCCAAAUCAAAUCUCCGACUAUGAUUUCUGCGAUUACGUCGUGGAGGGUCUAAGAGAGGGUGCGGCCAAGCUGAGGGAGGAUCUACUACAUGAGCCAGCUCAGCUUAGUCUGCAAGGGUGCCUUGUUGUCCCACAGAUCAUUUUUUGCGAUUACCAUGAGCACAGGAUGGAGGGGGACGCGAGGUGCUGCCAUUCCCUCGGCUAG
This 828-nucleotide ribosomal RNA is filed under the name Triticum aestivum (bread wheat). RNAcentral describes it as "partial small subunit ribosomal RNA". The record is from RNAcentral. Lineage: Eukaryota; Viridiplantae; Streptophyta; Magnoliopsida; Poales; Poaceae.